UACAGAGGGUGCAAGCGUUAAUCGGAAUUACUGGGCGUAAAGGGCGCGUAGGCGGAUUGAUAAGUUAGAUGUGAAAAGUCAGAGCUUAACUUUGGCCGUGCAUUUAAGACUGUCGAACUAGAGUAGAGUAGAGGGAAGUGGAAUUUCCGGUGUAGCGGUGAAAUGCGUAGAUAUCGGAAAGAACAUCAGUGGCGAAGGCGGCUCACUGGACCGGUACUGACGCUGAGACGCGAAAGCCAGGGGAGCAAACGGG
This 253-nucleotide ribosomal RNA is filed under the name uncultured bacterium. RNAcentral's name for it is "partial 16S ribosomal RNA". It matches the Rfam family "Bacterial small subunit ribosomal RNA", at positions 524 to 776 of the family's 1533-position model. The record is from RNAcentral.